Molecule: long non-coding RNA, 988 nt
Filed under: Mytilus galloprovincialis (Mediterranean mussel)
Lineage: Eukaryota; Metazoa; Mollusca; Bivalvia; Mytilida; Mytilidae
Source: RNAcentral
UCAUCAUCAAUGCAUCUCCUGAAAGGUCACUUUGUGGGCAGCAAGAUUCUUCUACAAUACACUGUCUAGUUUUCUUGUCUUAACUAGCGUAGCAACAUGAUCUCAUAAGGCAACACAGAGUACUACAAGCAAUAGAUGAUGGAGCUUUUUCUAUCUUCAAAGUUGAACUGCUUGGUAGAAUUUUUUUGUGUUGAUAAAACCUUGUUUUUUAGUAUUCAGCUUUGCAAGACAUGGUGUGUUUAUGAACAGAAGAAGACAAAUAGAACGAACAACACGCAACGUUAUUUCCCAACUUUUCAUUGUACUGGAUUGAUGUUUUGCUUAUCGUUUGCAAUUAACAAACUGCCACUUUUCCCGAAUGACUGAUUUAAAAAGCAGGUAGAUAAAUAGCAUGGGUAUAUCCAAACAGAUGUAAUUAAUGAUUAGAAAAUCAAUUCACAGAUCUAUAACCGCCUUAAAAACAAACUAUGCAUGUCCAUUAACAUGUAAUUAAAUUUCUGUACAUAAUACAUGACCUCGUUUUCUUAAUUGUUGCAUAAUAGUUUUAAUCAAAGAACUUGAUCACUAUGAGGGAAAAGAUCGCCAUCGAUAUUGUUUCCAUUGAUUUAAUUGUUCACAUGUAUUCACUACUUGAUUCAAUCUAAAAUAAAGUUUUGCAAUUUAAGGAAAAUUCUUAUAUUUAGAAACACAAUGUAUAUUUAAAAAUGAAAAUAUUUAUAUCGUGUUUAAAUUUUUGCUCUGCGUUUGCUUAUUUUUUUGUGAAUUCAAACACACUUAAUUUACAAUCAUUUUCCUUGUCGCAGUUUUUAUCAAUCUCCCAUACUCAUUAUCAACUAUAGAUUUAUGUAUGCAUACAAACAAUGAUUCUUUGUUCGUCAUUUGGUUUUAAGUUUCAUUUGUCCACAUAAGGCCUAGAGGUCUUCCAAAACUGCAAAAGUUAAAUGACGUUAGAGUAUGUGGUCAAGGUUUUAACUUAUGCAAGUUUUAA